UACGUAGGCAGCAAGCGUUGUUCGGAGUUACUGGGCGUAAAGGGUGUGUAGGCGGUUGUUUAAGUUUGGUGUGAAAUCUCCCGGCUCAACUGGGAGGGUGCGCCGAAUACUGAAUGACUAGAGUGCGGGAGAGGAAAGUGGAAUUCCUGGUGUAGCGGUGAAAUGCGUAGAUAUCAGGAGGAACACCGGUGGUGUAGACGGCUUUCUGGACCGUAACUGACGCUGAGACGCGAAAGCGUGGGGAGCGAACAGG
RNAcentral lists this ribosomal RNA (253 nucleotides) under uncultured bacterium. RNAcentral describes it as "partial 16S ribosomal RNA". It matches the Rfam family "Bacterial small subunit ribosomal RNA", at positions 524 to 776 of the family's 1533-position model. The record is from RNAcentral.